This 422-nucleotide ribosomal RNA is filed under the name uncultured delta proteobacterium. Its description in RNAcentral is "bacterial SSU rRNA". It matches the Rfam family "Bacterial small subunit ribosomal RNA", at positions 921 to 1338 of the family's 1533-position model. The record is from RNAcentral. Lineage: Bacteria; Deltaproteobacteria.
CCGCACAAGCGGUGGAGUAUGUGGUUUAAUUCGAUGCAACGCGCAGAACCUUACCUGGGUUUGACAUCUCCGGAACUUCUCGGAAAUGAGAAGGUGCCCUUCGGGGAACCGGAUGACAGGUGCUGCAUGGCUGUUCGUCAGCUCGUGUCGUGAGAUGUUGGGUUAAGUCCCGCAACGAGCGCAACCCUUGUCCUUAGUUACCAUCAUUCAGUUGGGGACUCUAAGGAGACUGCCGGUGUAAAACCGGAGGAAGGUGGGGAUGACGUCAAGUCCUCAUGGCCCUUACACGCCAGGGCUACACACCUACUACAAUGGCCGGUACAAAGAGCUGCGAGGCCGCGAGGCCAGUGGCUAAUCCCAAAAAACCGUUCUCAGUUCGGAUUGCAGUCUGCAACUCGACUGCAGGAAGCCGGAAUCGCUAG